RNAcentral lists this unclassified non-coding RNA (360 nucleotides) under Hevea brasiliensis (rubber tree). Lineage: Eukaryota; Viridiplantae; Streptophyta; Magnoliopsida; Malpighiales; Euphorbiaceae. The record is from RNAcentral.
GGAGGAUACUUCAACAACUAUAUUCUUAUCUAGGCUUUCCAAAAGUAGCUCAAGAGAAAAGGAAGUCAUAGAACUAAUAAGCAGUCUGAUUUGUAACUGGAGCUAGCUGAAACACUGAAUUCGUUAUCCAGGAAACCAUCCUCCGUAGGUAAAACAUUAGAUGAAAGGGGUGUGCAGAGUUUCUGGAUUUCCAAUUCACAUCGAUUGUGCAAUGGAGCAAGAGAGCAAUCAUUUGAGUAUUGACUGACUUGAAUUUUUGAUCUGACAGAGGAAUCUGGACUCAGGAUCAUGCUUUACAGAAGCACUUCCCCACAGAAUAAUCUGUGAAGAUCGAAUUGCACUCCUGACAGUGCAUUCUCC